GACGAACGCUGGCGGCGUGCUUAACACAUGCAAGUCGAACGAUGAAGCCCAGCUUGCUGGGUGGAUUAGUGGCGAACGGGUGAGUAACACGUGGGCAACCUGCCCCAAACUCUGGGAUAACUCCUCGAAAGAGGUGCUAAUACCGGAUACGAACUAGGUAGACAUCUGCACUAGUUGGAAAGUUUUUCGGUUUGGGAUGGGCCCGCGGCCUAUCAGCUUGUUGGUGAGGUAACGGCUCACCAAGGCUACGACGGGUAACCGGCCUGAGAGGGCGCCCGAGAACACUGGGGCGGGGACGCGGCCCAGACUCCUACGGGGGGCAGCAGUGGGGAAUAGGGGGCAAGGGGCGAAAGCCUGACGCAGCGACGCCGCGUGGGGGAGGAAGGUCUUCGGAUCGUAAACCUCUUUCAGUAGGGACGAAGCGAAAGUGACGGUACCUAAAGAAGAAGCACCGGCUAACAACGUGCCAGCCGCCGCGGUAA
RNAcentral lists this ribosomal RNA (482 nucleotides) under uncultured bacterium. RNAcentral's name for it is "partial 16S ribosomal RNA". It matches the Rfam family "Bacterial small subunit ribosomal RNA", at positions 28 to 523 of the family's 1533-position model. The record is from RNAcentral.